RNAcentral lists this ribosomal RNA (235 nucleotides) under uncultured bacterium. RNAcentral describes it as "partial 16S ribosomal RNA". It matches the Rfam family "Bacterial small subunit ribosomal RNA", at positions 96 to 334 of the family's 1533-position model. The record is from RNAcentral.
UGGCGGACGGGUGAGUAAUGUCUGGGAAACUGCCCGAUGGAGGGGGAUAACUACUGGAAACGGUAGCUAAUACCGCAUAACGUCGCAAGACCAAAGAGGGGGACCUUAGGGCCUCUUGCCAUCGGAUGUGCCCAGAUGGGAUUAGCUAGUAGGUGGGGUAAUGGCUCACCUAGGCGACGAUCCCUAGCUGGUCGGAGAGGAUGACCAGCCACACUGGAACUGAGACACGGUCCAG